This 469-nucleotide ribosomal RNA is filed under the name uncultured bacterium. Its description in RNAcentral is "bacterial SSU rRNA". It matches the Rfam family "Bacterial small subunit ribosomal RNA", at positions 329 to 795 of the family's 1533-position model. The record is from RNAcentral.
UACCAGACUCCUACGGGAGGCAGCAGUGAGGAAUAUUGGUCAAUGGGCGCGAGCCUGAACCAGCCAAGUAGCGUGAAGGAUGACUGCCCUACGGGUUGUAAAUCUCUUUUGUCAGGGAGCAACGCCGGCUACGUGUAGCCGGACUGGGAGUACCUGAAGAAAAAGCAUCGGCUAACUCCGUGCCAGCAGCCGCGGUAAUACGGAGGAUGCGAGCGUUAUCCGGAUUUAUUGGGUUUAAAGGGUGCGCAGGCGGAGGUGCAAGUCAGCGUUCAAAUUGCGGGGCUCAACCCCGUACUGCCGUUGAAACUGCAUCCCUUGAGUGCGCGAGAAGUAUGCGGAAUGCGUGGUGUAGCGGUGAAAUGCAUAGAUAUCACGCAGAACUCCGAUUGCGAAGGCAGCAUACCGGCGCGCAACUGACGCUCAUGCACGAAAGCGUGGGUAUCGAACAGGAUUAGAUACCCUGGUAAAA